Molecule: ribosomal RNA, 375 nt
Filed under: Platocoelotes globosus
Lineage: Eukaryota; Metazoa; Arthropoda; Arachnida; Araneae; Agelenidae
Description: partial 16S ribosomal RNA
Source: RNAcentral
CUCAAUGAUAAUUUAAUAGCCGCAAUUUUGUGCUAAGGUAGCAUAAUCAUUUGUUUUUUAAUUAAAAACUAGAACAAAAGAUUUAACAUUUCAAUUUCUUUCUCAUAUACAUAAAUUAAAUUUAUUUUAAAUAUAAAAAAAUAUUUUUUCUUUAAAAAGACGAUAAGACCCUAUUGAACUUAACUAAAGUUAAACUGGGGUAGUUAAUUAAAUACAAUUUUAAUUUAAAUUUUAAAAAAACCUAAUAUAAUUAAAUAAAAAGUUACCAUAGGGAUAACAGCGUAAUAAAUUUUUCAAGAUCUUAUUUAAAAAUUUGUUUACGACCUCGAUGUUGAAUUAAUAAUCCAUUAAAUGCAACAAUUUAAUAAGAAAGUC